CGGAAAUUGUCAUGGACGAGGUACCUGUAUAGGACCAGACACCUGCAGCUGUAGAUGGGGGUAUACCAGAAAUGCCUGCCAAAAAGGUAAUAAGACUAACCCACUUAUUCUACAAUAUACGUCCAUUCUCGCAUACUUUGAAAGAUCUGGACAGACGAGGGAAUUAUACAGAUCUGUAAUAGAUUCUUCUGAACCGAACUCGACGAAGGCCAUGUGGCUAAACCAAAAGGAUUACAACUAUAUAAAUGUUACAUUUGCCGCUGUCCUCACAUCAGCAGACAACCUAAACAUUUCAAGAAUGAAAAACAGUUUAAAGUGGGAAUCAUAUCUGGAGGCGUUAAUAUCAUUCAUCUCAAAAUGAGCAGACCAGAAAAGACGCCCUUUGUGAGUGGAAAUGAAACCCACCUCUGUGAGAGUCAGCCCAGUUCUCUCUAUCCCAGCGUGGAUUUAUUUCAAUGUAACUACACGGAUGACAAGUUUGACAUGCAGCUGGAACACGGAGACAAUUUAACCCUGACAGCUUUUACUAAAAUCUGGGGUAUUUUUGAAAAAGAC
Long non-coding RNA from Saccostrea cuccullata (small rock oyster), 555 nucleotides. RefSeq lists it as uncharacterized. The record is from RefSeq and is a predicted model, not a curated record. NCBI's taxonomy places the organism in Eukaryota, Metazoa, Mollusca, Bivalvia, Ostreida, Ostreidae. The transcript has 5 exons.